RNAcentral lists this long non-coding RNA (10550 nucleotides) under Marmota monax (woodchuck). Lineage: Eukaryota; Metazoa; Chordata; Mammalia; Rodentia; Sciuridae. The record is from RNAcentral.
AAAGGACAGUAUAAUGAACUCCAUGUAAUGAUCACCUGACUUCAGGGCUUUCUAUUUUGCAGUUUUGGUAAGUUGCAGAGCAGGGAUUUGAACUCAUAUCUGUUUUGUUUCCAAACCAUGUUCUUAAUUAUGAUCCCAUGCUUCUGCUUCUUCAUUUUGUUAGUUGAUGCUAUUGAAUAAUUUUAUAGUUGUUGGUAUUUUGGUGAAAUAGACACAAAAAGUGUUCAUAAUAUAACCCACUACAAUAGUGCAGUUUUGGAGUUUGUUAUAAGAUGGAGAAAGUGCUCUCUUUUAAUGCCAUGUAUUUAGUAAUAAGCAUUUUUUAGUUGCCCUAUUCUGCAAAGACAAAACCUGCUGAUACAGUCCGUCCUGUUUUAUAAAUCUUUGACCCAUUCAUCAGACUCUGACCACUCUAAAGAUAAAAGAUUAUGGUCAUAUUGGUCUUUCCGACUGAAGUGGCCUCCUGCAGAUUGAGCAAUUGUGUAAUUAUUAACUGUGGUAAUGGAUAUGUACUUGCAAGUUUCAUCUGGUAUCUUACUGAGCUUUAACCCUCUGCAUACACCCAAAAUGAAUUCUAGAAUCUUUGAGACUCAUCGGUUAUCUGUUACUUAACUCUUGUAUUUAAUUUUGCUAUGAUAAAUAUGUUGUUUCCCCUGCCCUCAUCACUGUCCAUCCCCUUACUUACACAUUCAUAACUCCUAUUCAUUCUGGUACUUAGUAGUAGCAGCCUUUGGUAUAAAUAGGUUUAAAAAUACUCAUUUUUAAAUGAGGCUUUCUAGUUAAUUUUUGGAAGGGUGGGAAUCCUACAUUUAUAGGGGUAUUUAUUCAGACAAAUAAGUGAAGGUACACUGAAGUAAUUGUUACAUAUAAAUAACAUGCUUUGUAGAAUUUUUAUUUACCUCAGACAUCUCUUUCUUUGGGUGAUUCUUUGAACUCUCAAGACACUUUGGUUUUACCACUGUGCUUCACCAUCUUUCUGAACCUAGAAGGCAAAUAGAGAUUUUAAUCUUGCCCUUGAUUCUUCUGUGAUCCUGUCAAAUGUAGUGAUGCUAGAAAUAUAGGUCUGAAAAGGAGAGAGAGAGAAAGAGAAAGAAAAAAGAUGGUUCAAUGUAGAUUUGUAAGACACAGUUGGAUAUGUGGUAGGAUUGGAUAAAAUUCUCCAGAAAAGCCUGGCUCAGUGGCACACCCUGUAAUCCCAGUUGCUCUGGAAGCUAAGUCAGGAGGAUUGUAAAUUCAAAGCCAGCCUUAGGAAGAGCAAGACACCAAGUAACUCAGUGAGACCCUGUCUCUAACUAAAAUACAAAAUAGAGCUGGGGAUGUGGCUCAGUGGUUGAGUACCCCUGAGUUCAAUUCCCAGCACCAAAAACAAACAAAAACAAAAACAAAAACAACAAAAAACAAAUUUCCAGAAAUAUGUGAGGUGAUGGAUAGAUAACAUUACCCUAAGUACAUGUAUGAAGACACAAAUAGUGUGAAUAUACUUUAUGUUGGGGGCUGGGGAUGUGGCUCAAGCCGUAGCGUGCUCGCCUGUCAUGCGUGUGGCCCGGGUUCGAUCCUCAGCACCACAUACAAACAAAGAUGUUGUGCCGCCGAAAACUAAAUAAAUAAAUAAAUAAAUAUUAAAAAAUUUAAAAAAAUAUAUACUUUAUGCACAACCAGAGAUAUGAAAAAUUGUACUCUAUAGGUGUAAUAUAAAUUAUAAUACAUUCUGCUGUCAUAUAUAACAAAUUAGAAUAAAAAAUAAUUAAAAAAAAAAAGAAAUGAGUGAAAUGAAGAGAUGCACCAGGAAGAAGUAGAGAAAGAAAAAUCAGAGCAGUGAAAGAACCAGUUAGGAAAGAGCAGUGAUCUAGAAACUAAGGAAAGAAAGAGUUUUACAGCUGAAAUGGUGAAGUGCUGGGUGUAGUUGGCAAUUUGGACUUCACUAUUGUCUUAAUAGAGAUAGGAAAUGAAAGUUAGAUUUUCAGGCAUUUAGGAGAUAGUGUUAAUUGAGGACACAAAAGCAGUAUCAUCGGGCUGGGAAUGUGGCUCAAGCAGUAGCGCGCUCACCUGGCAUGCCCGAGCGGCCCAGGUUCGAUCCUCAGCACCACAUACAAACAAAGAUGUUGUGUCUGCUGAGAACUAAAAAAUAAAUAUUAAAAUUCUCUCUCUCUCUCUCUCAAAAAAAAAAAAAAAAAAAAAAAAGCAGUAUCAUAUACUCUUUAAAUGUCUUGGAGAUUAGCAACAAUAGGCCUAUCUCUUGGGUUAUCCAAUUUAGAUAGCUUUCCUGGGCUUUAGAGUACAACUUUUUUCUGAAGAUUUAAUAAUGUUGAUAAUGACUUUAACAAAUUAAGUAACAGUUUUGUGAUUAACCAUAGUCCAAAAAGCCUAUGAAAAAUACAGAUAAUGGGCAGUUACAUGUUGGUUGUGUUGUCCCAGGCUUCUCUCUUCUGAGGACACCCUUGCUUUUAAUUCUGUAGUAGCUCAUAUCAUUGCUUUAUAAUUAUCUUUUUAAAGAUCCUUUUUUUUGUUGUGCAUUCUUAAUACUUGGCCAUAAUGCCUGACAAAUAGUGUUGAGUGUUGUGUGAAUGAUUGUCAGAUAAAUCACAAAAUAUUUCUAAUUUGGUGGUCUUUUAGGAUUAAAAAUGUAGAAUAUUUGAGGAAAGAAGAACUGAUAAACAGUUUCAAAUGGCAGUAAGAAAAGGUUUGAAAACUGACCUUUAUGUUUGACUUUUAGAAAGUCAUUGGUUUCUAAGUAUUAUAGCAAAAUUGUUGGGAUAGAAGUCAAAUUAGGGCUUGAAAAAUAAAUGAGAAGUGAGAACAAAGAAACCAGAUAGAAGUGGUUUUUUUUAAUUUUUUAAUUAAAAAAAUUUUGAAACUAAAGGGAAGAAACCAUUGGAGAGGAAACUAAAAAUUUAAAAGAGUAGAGUUCUUUAUCAUUGGCAGCUUUAUGAAUUUGUUUUGCAUAUAUCUAAGUACUUCCUCCAGUUCAUCAGGAUAAUAUAUUCCUCUCUUCUUGGUUUCAGUAUAUAUCUUGAACUUGAAGGAUUUUGCUGUGCUAUUUGGAGCCUCCUAGUGGCAAAUCUAAUAAUGGCAUUAAUCAUAAAAACAAAAAAAAUAGAUCUCAUAUAUCUGUUACUCCUUAUGCAGAUUAAUCUUUCUAUGAGGAUUAAAUUAAGGUGGGAUAUGUGAUAAUUAUAGUGAUGCUUAGUUCUUUGAUUUUCAGUGAGUCAAAACUUCACACCUAAAAUUACUAUAAUUUUGUCUCAAUAAUAAUUCAUUAUUACAAAUUGAAAAUUGUAGUAUAUUUAUUUUAUCUACUAGUUCCUUAACAGUGGCUAUCAUUGUUCUCAAUUCAUACUGAAAUGCUAGCUAUAGGACCAUUGUUAUGAAACUGUUGGAGCAUUAUAUUCUGUUGAAAGAUGUGAAAGAAAAGCCUGAAUUACCAAAAAAUUGAUAUUAUGAAAAUAAUACACAUUAAUUAUCCAUGAUAGUAAAACUUUUAAAAUAUAAAACUCUUUUAAAAAUCAUCCAUAAACUUGCUUCUUAGUGUUUUUCUCUGUAGGAUUCAAAAAAUAUUAUAAAAUAUUUCUGAACAAUAUAAUGAAUACUUAUGUAAACAUAUAUAGUUAAAAAAUAAAAUGUGAUCAGUAUAGUUGAAACCUUCUGUGUACCCUAGAUCACAUCCCUUUUAUUCUAUCCCAAAGGUAAUCACAAUCCUACAUUGGUUGUUUUAAAAGUCAAUAUAUAUAUGUGAAUAAAAAGAAAUAUGAACAUAUAUAUGUGUGUGUGUGUGUGUAUGUGUACUUGGGGAUUGAACCCAAGGACCCUCUAGUGCCGAGCUACAUACCCAGACCUUUUUAUUUAUUUUUAUUUUUAUUAUUUUUUACUACUGGAGAUUUAACCCAGGGAUGCUUUACCACUGAGCUACAUUUCCAGCCCCUUUUAUUUUUUAUUUUGAGACAGGGUUUGGCUGAAUUACUGAGGCUGGCCUCAAACUUGCAAUCCUUCUGCUUUAGUGUCCCAAAUAGCUGAUAUGGUACUGCACCUAGCUAUAUAUUGUAUUCUUAGAAUUACAUUUUAUUUAUUUACUUUUUUGGUACUAUGGAUUGAACUCAUGGGUGUUAACUACUGAGCCACAUCCCCAGCCAUUUUUUAUUUUUUAUUUUGAGACAGGGUCUCACUAAUGUGCUUAGAGCUUUGCUCAGUUGCUGAGGCUAGCUUUGAACUUGUGAUCCUCCUGUCUCUGCCUCCUGAAUUGUUGGGAUUACAGGCAUGCACCCACUGCACCUGGCUUAAAAUUUCAUUUUCAUUUACGAUUAUAUUUGUAAAAUGGAUCUGUGUUGACAUGUAGCUCUUAUUCAUUUAUUUUUGUUGCCAUGUUGUAGUAUCUCUGAAUAUUCCAUGUUUUAUCCAGUCUCUUCUUCAUGGAGUUUAAGUUGUUUUUAAUUUAUUGUUUGUAGUCUCCCAUGAUCACUCUUGUACAUGUUUUUUUAUGUAUACAUGGGUAAGAAUUUGCCAGGGUAGAAACUUGGAAGUACAGUUGUUCUCUUAAAUGGUAUGUGUGCCCUCAGUUUUACUGUAUUUUGCCAAAUUAUACUUCAAAGCCGUUUGCCAAUUAACUCUUCCAACAUAAGAGUUUUCCAGGCUGGGGAUAUGGCUCAAGCGGUAGCGCGCUCGCCUGGCAUGCGUGCGGCCCGGGUUCGAUCCUCAGCACCACAUACAAACAAAUGUUGUGUCCGCCAAAAAGAAACCUAAAAAAUAAAUAUUAAAAUUCUCUCUCUCUCUCUCUCUCUCUCUCUCUCUCUUUAAAAAAAAAAAAAGAGUUUUCCAAUCUUGGGUAUUGUCAGACUAUUCAAAUUUUUUCUCAAUCCUGUGGAUGUGAAACAGUGGUUUCUUAAAAACAAACAGAUUUGUAUUGUAGGAUAUUUUAACAUGUACAAAAAUAGAUUAGUGCAGUGAAUUGUUUUGUGUUUCAUCACCCUCAUCUCACCAGUUAUUGACACAUGGCUAGUCUUGUUUUGUCUACACCCUUUGCCCCUCCUCUCUCAUGUUAUUAUGAAGAAAUCUGAGAUAGAAUACUAUUCUAUCUGAAAAGACUCAUCUUCAGCACAUACUGCUUUUUAAAUGUAGCCACAAUAGCCUUAUCUCACUAUAAACUGACAGUAAUUCUUUCAUUUAUCAAAUGUUAGUCAGUGUUUCAGUUUUUCCAAUUUUCUUAUAAUACUUUCACAUUUGUUUGUCCAAGUCAGGAUCUAAAUAAGACCCAUGCAUUGUAAUUGGUCUCAAUCUAUAGGUUUCCUUCACUCUUUCUUACAGUCUCUAUCUUUGUGAGGUUAGUAACCAUUAAGGAUCAUUGCCUAAAAGAUCCACUAAUUCACAAAUGUACAAGAAAUUGAGGAGCUGAGACGCAGCUAGCAAAAUGAUGAUAGUAUAUCAUUCUUUCUUUGGUUACUAGCAGGAUCUCUAUAAAGAUAGAUUUCUAGCUGGGCAUGGAGGCUCAAUCCUAUUACAGCUACUUGGGAGGUUGAGGCAGGGGGAUUACAAGUUCAAGACUGUCCUGGGCAAUUUGGUGAGAGACCCUGUCUUAAAAUUUAAAAAGGACUGGGGAUUUAGCUCGGUGGUAGAGAGUUUGCCUAGCAAGCAUGAGGUUAUGGAUUUGAUUCUAAGUAUCACUAAAUUAAAAAAAAAAAAAAGAUUUCUUUUCAUCACAUAGUUGGUUAUCUUAGGAUAUUAUUAAGAUAGGAUGAAAUUCUUUUUUAAAUCUCAUUUAUCAGCUUUAAAGAAGUCCCUAUGACCAUUGAGAGAAUUUGCUUUAGUUUUCUUUAUUUACUCAUGGGGAUUUAAGCAUGUUUGAAAUGAUCUAACCCAUUACACUGUUUUCCUUGUUUAUGCUCAAUGGGAACUUCUUCAAGUUAAUUCUGAUUUCUUUUGAUAUAAUCCUAAUCAUCUUUUAUAAUUGUUUUUAGGGGGCAGGGCUUCUGGUAUGAUAUAUUUUAGGUUCAUCUGUAAUUUCCUGCCCCAAACCUUGAAUCAGCCAUUUCUUUAAGGAGACUGAGUCAGAUAGCCAGCCUCUGUCUAGCAGUACCAAAAUGUCAAACUUCCAGAAAGAAAGCAAGUGUUCAGGAUUGACUCUAUUGUUUUACAUAAAUCCCAUUCUUUCACAGAUACCAGCCAGCCAAGGUCACUUUAUAUGCAGAUUUUUUAAAAGGAUGUAGUCUCAGGCCUGCUACUUUACCUUUUAUAUGUAUGGAUACCUAUUAGAUAUCUUAUGGCAAGGAAUAAGUAGAAAAUUGGAUAAGGAGUCAGGAAUUCAAAGGAGAGGUUGUGGACUAUUAUCCUGUAGAAGCCAUUUAAAGCCCUGAGACUGAAUGUAGGUAGUGAGUUCAGAGAUUCAAGUACUGGGACCUUGUACAAGAAAUUGAAGAGCUGAGAAGCAGCUAGCAAAGGAGCAGCUUGCAAAAGCUAGAAAGAGCAAUUGGUAAGAGUUUGAGAUGGGUCAAGAUUCAAGAGGACAUGAUAUCCUUAAAGUCUAAUGAAAAGAAGGAGUCAGUGGCCGGGCACAGUGGUACAUGCCUGUAAUCCCAGCGACUCAGGAGGCUGAGGCAGGAGGAUCCGGAGUUCAAAGCCAGCCUCAACAAAAGCAAGGUGCUAAAUUCAGCAAGUUCCUGUUUCUAAAUAAAAUGCAAAAAUUGGACUGGGGAUAUGGCUCAGUGGCUGUGCCCCUGAGUUCAAUCCCAGGUUCCGCCCUCCCCCCCCAAUUGAGUCAAUGUUGCUGAUAGGCCAAUUAAGCUAAAACUAGAGUUGAUAGAGGGCAGUGUGGAGGUCAUUGGAGACCUUAAGAUAAGCUGUUGUUUCUUUACAGAUUUGGACAAAAGCUUGGUGCAGUGGGUUUAGGAAUAAACAGGAGCAAAGGGAGUAUAGAUAAUUCUUUCAAAGAAUUUGGCUAUAGAUAGAAAUAGAAAACAUGGUGUAAUAAGUGAUGAAUAACAGCAUGGGGAAAAGUAACAGCAUGUUCAUGUGUUAAUAGAAAUGCUCCAGUACAGAGAAAAAUCCCUGACGGAGGAGAGCCAGGGAAAAUUAUUAGAGCCUGAGUAGGAAAGUGGGACCAUGUUGGUGUGAGCUGGGUUGGUGGAUGUAUGUUGGGAAUUUGUGAAUUGAAAUAUGUAGCUGUGAGUGGAGGUUGGGAAUGAGAUGCUGGAGAUUAUAUAAAAAUGUAUAAAAGAAUUAUCUUUAAGAGUGAAUGGAUAGGGAAAGACAGUAUUGCUAGAUACUGCCUUUAGAUUAGUGGUAAUAAAUUUAAAAUGAGAUCAGUUUUCAGAUGAUUGUGUAUUUUUUUCUCUAGUUAACUUCUGGCCAGCGUAGGUGAUGAUGUAGCUGCAUAAGUACCUUGGAGAUCAAAGUAGUAGAGUUAGAAAAGCAUGAUAGGAAUUGAUUAUGGUAAACUCUAGAAUUUAAGAUGAUUAAGGAGGGAAAUGAAGAAAGAGGCCGUAAACUGUCUGGUAAGAUAAGUGCUUUCAUUGUAUAUCCCAUUUGGUCAAAGAACUGUUGAAGUUGUACAUCUAGAGGGGAAAAAAUUGGAAGAUAGAGUAGAAAGUUGAAAACAAUAUUGAAAUUAGGAAAGGGUAUGCAGUUAUUGAUAAUGGUAUUUUGUAUGAUUAUACAAGUAGAUGACUGAAUAAGGGUGGAAUGAAAGUCAACAGAGAAGAGGAAGUCAAGGAACCAUGAGAUGAGCCAGGAUAUAGGAAGGAUCAAACACACUGAUAUUGAAAUUAUGAGCUAUGAUCAGAUUAGGAAGAGGUGCCAAUGAGUAAAUCUUCAAGAAAUAUUAAGUGUGACAGGGGAUUAUAGCUGCCAUUGCUUGGCUUAGACCUCAUUUUGCAUGUACUUCCACAUGGGCUUUUCAUGAUUUGAUGUUUCCUAUGUUUUUACAGUGGACCCUAUACCCUAACCAGAGUCCUCAGUCCUUCAUAAGACUUUCGUAAUUUUGCCCUUUUAUAGAUCCUAUUUCUUGUUUGAAAUGCUUGUAGCUACCUUCUAUAAGAGCACUCUUCCCUAGUAGAUCAUUAUUUCCCGGUUAUAGGUUAUAGUAUUGCUUACAUUAUUUUGAAACUACAAACUUAUGUUCACUGUUGCCCCUCCAGUUGUUUUUAAACCAGGUCAACAGUUCCCUCAUGUUGAGAACCUUUUCUGUCUUUUGCCCGUAUAUAACACUGUAAAAAUGUUUUCAAUGAAUUCUAGGAAUAGAUCUAUUUAACAAGUGAUUAUUUAAAGUCAGUUAUGAAUAAACAAACAUUGAUAUGAUUCUUUUAUGUUUAUCUCAGUAAGAAUGAUGUUUACUUAGAUUUAUUUAUUUCAAGUUAUCACAGUUAAUGAAAAAAGUUUAAAUGAUACUGAGUUUUUCUUUUAUCUAUAUGUUACAAGAUAAUUAUUAUUAAUUUGAUUAUGGAAAAGGUAAAAAUAUAGAAACAAUUUCUUAUUGAUUGUACUAACAGAUUGAAGUGAAAAUAGAAAAUAUAGUUACUUUUACAUUUUGAAGAAAAUCUUACUUUUUUAUAUUCUCUGCCUGCCAGUUUGUGCCUUCUAUUUUGGUUUUGGGAAUUGAGUUCACAGUUCAAAGAAGGAGGCUCAAAACUUACUGAGAUAAUCUAUGGAAUAAAGAAAACAGGUAAUGUAAAAGUGAUUGUAAUAAGUUAAACAAAUGCUACCCCUCCCUUUUACUAACUUGUUAUUUAAAUGGGGCAAGUUUUUACAAGAUGAGAAAUGAACAUAUUUACCUGUAUGAUGCUAGUUUUAUUCUUAAUUUUAUUUAUCUGAAAGAAUCUUUAGGUAAAGAUUUUUUUGUGACUAAGUUGAUUUUUCUUAUGAUUUCUUGUGUAUGUCUCAGUUUUAUAAUUAAAUGGCAUAUGAAAAUAAAUCAUUAUUAUUAAUUUUUCAGUUUAUAUUAUAUUUUAUUUUGAUACAUUAUUAAGUUAAUAUUAUAUAUAAAGUCUAUCAAAAAUUAAUUUGGGUUUUUUCAUUUUUAUCAGAAAUUAUGAGUGGAGGAUCUCAAGUCCACAUUUUUUGGGGUGCUCCAGCUAGUCCACUGGAAAUGACAGUAUCACAGAAAACAACUUUAAUGUCCACUGCAGACCCCUGGAAAACAAUUCAACUUUGGUACAAUCAGCAUUCUUUGCAUCUGAAGGACAAAAACCAUGAGCCAAACAAUCUAAAAGACUAUCAAGUCUCAGAAGCUAUUACUGGCCCUCCAGAUCUUUUAAGUGGUUGUUGUUUAGUGAAUUCUGUGAGUAGAUCUGUUCAAGUUAAAGAUGAUUUUACAUACUUUACUUCAGAAACACAGAAUAUAAAAUCCCAGAAGAUUUACCCUUCAGGGCUGAGUGAUGUAACUAAUUCUAAUGUGCAAAUACACGGAUUUAAGGGCACAGUUCAGCAUUUACCUGAAGAAAAAAAGAAUCAAAAGGUUCAAUGUGAAAAUAAUAAAAUUACAGAUGAAGAGCCUAAAAAUCAAUCAAACUUAUGUCAAAACUUUCAAACAAAUUCCUUUCGGUUAGAUCAUAAAUGUGCAGUUAUAUUGGAUUUGGUUGGUAGUACUAAACAAAUUAAUACAGAUCUUGAAGCUGUAGAAACAAAGUAUAAGCCAACAGAACACCAUGAAAUGCAAAACCAGUGUCUGGACUUCUUUUCCUCUAAUGCAGUGGAUGAGCCAAGGUCUGAUAGAGCAGUUAGGAAUGUCUCAAAACUUAAAAUAUCUACUGACACUGAAUUUCUGAGUAUAAUGAUCUCCAGCCAGGUUGCUUUUUUAGCUCAAAGGGAGGAUAGAGCUCUGAAUUCUAUAAAUAAAGGGACCAUAAGCAUGGAAACUGAACCAAAGGCAAGUCAUGGGGAAAUAAGAAUAACUGAAGAUAGUUUUAUUCAGCCUAAUGAUGAUUUUGCAGAAGGACAUGAAAGAGGACAAAAUGAAGAAACAUAUUCCUUAGAACUUUUUAGUCCUAUUUGUCCUGAAAAAAAAAGUAGCCACAUUCACAUAAACCCUGAAAAAGAUGUUGAAGAAAAUAUAGGAUCUCAAGAACUUUUCAGUUCUGAAGAUAAACUGUCACCAAAUGAGAUCUGUAUUGAGUUGUGUCGCUCAGGAACACAGUGUUCCCAACUAAAUACCUUUCACAAAAGUGCUGUUAAAAGAAAUUGGAGCUCUGAAGAUAAAUCAGGCCAUUCGAAAGCUCUGUCUAAAGUCCUCCAAGUAUCUAAGAAAAUGAAGUUGGGUUCUAAUGCAAGAGAUUCUAUCAUAGCAAUGAGCCAGAGGAAUGUGUCUGAAUUUAAGGGUAUUAAAAAAAUAUCAUUAAUAAAAAAUUGUGAUUCUAAAAGUCAGAAGUAUAAUUGUUUAGCUAUGGUGUUAACUCCAAGUCAGAUGAAAGAAAUAAACAUAAAAUCUGGACCCAAUUCUGGAUCUAAAGUGCCUUUAGCAACAAUUAUAGUAAUUGAUCAAUCAGAAAUUAAGAAGAAAGUUUUUCUGUGGAGAACUGCUGCAUUUUGGGCACUUACAGUAUUUCUCGGAGAUAUAAUUUUACUCACAGGUG